UAUUGUCGCGCAUGCGCCAUUGAUAAUGUGCAGGAGCCAUCUUGGAUCCUUUUUUUUCAGCUGGAGUCGUGUGUCGUCGUGUUGAGGUGCCUCCGACACUCUCUCGCACACGCACACAUAUAUAUAUAUAUAUUUGUAUUGCAUAUUUUGUUGCAGCCGCCGCCGCAGCAACGUGUUCUAAAGAAAAGCAACCAUGCCGACUUAUUUCCUAAGACCCGAGAAUGCCCUCAACCGGGCUAACGAAUUUAUUGAUGUGGACAAGAAACAACGUGCCUUGGAUGUCCUGUACGAUGUCAUCAAAAGUAAGAAACACCGCACAUGGCAAAAGAUUCACGAGCAGAUUAUGGCCAAGUACCUUGAGCUCUGUGUCGAUCUCCGGAAGAGUCACAUUGCAAAAGAGGGCUUGUACCAGUAUAAGAUUAUUUGUCAACAGGUGAGCAUCAACUCUCUCGUGGAUGUGGUGGAGAACUAUUUGAAGUUGGCUGAAAAGACAACUGAGAAAGCUCGUGAACAAUCUCACCAAGCCGUUGUUGAUGUUGACGAUUUAGACAACCCUGAUACUCCGGAGAGCUUGUUAAUGAAAGCUGUGAGUGGUGAAGACACACAGGACCGUACAGACCGUGCCAUUCUGACACCAUGGGUCAAGUUUUUGUGGGAGUCUUAUCGUCAAUGUCUGGAUCUUUUGAGGAACAACUCUCGUGUUGAAAGACUGUACCACAACAUUGCACAGCAAGCUUUCCUCUUCUGCAUCAAUUACAACCGAAAAACAGAAUUCAGGAAACUAUGUGACAAUCUUCGCACACAUUUGAUGCAAAUCAACAAGCAGCAGCACCAGCAAACUGCAAUCAACCUGAACAAUGUGGAUUCACAAGCGAUGCACCUGGAGACACGUCUGGCUCAGCUGGAUAGUGCCAUCAGCAUGGAGCUGUGGCAGGAAGCUUUCAAAGCUGUAGAGGAUAUUUAUAACUUGAUCAGUUUAUCAAAGAAGCCGCCCAAGCCCGCUCUGAUGGCUAACUACUACCAGAAAUUAGGGCUUGUUUUUUGGAAAUCAGGAAAUCAUCUAUUUCAUGCCUGCACACUACAUCGACUUUUCCAUUUGUCCAGAGAUCAGAAGAAGAAUUUGUCUCAAGAAGAAUUACAAAGAAUGGCAACUCGUGUAUUGUGUGCCAGUUUGGCUAUUCCAAUUCCUCCCGCUAGAAAUGCUAUUGGUCAGUUAUUGGAUAUGGAUGAGAGUACUUUGGAGAAACAGCGUCGUCUAGCCACCUUGCUAAUGCUCAACAACCCUCCCAACAGACAGCAACUUAUCAAAGAUUUGGUGAAAUACAGUGUUAUACAGUAUGUUUUCCCCGAGCUACAGAACCUGUAUCGAUGGCUGGAGAUCGACUUCCAUCCUUUGAAAUUGUCUGAUCGUGUGAAACCCUGUAUCGACUUCAUCAACAACCAGCCUGACUUGAAGCAGUAUGUACCAGCUCUGCAAGACAUCAUCAUUACCCGUGUACUUAAGCAGGUAUCUCAAGUCUAUCAAACCAUAGAAUUUAACCGUCUGUCUGUUUUGGUGCCAUUUGCUUCUUCAUUCCACUUAGAAAGAGUGAUUGUCUCUUCUGCAAAGCAUUUAGAUCUUCAGGUGAGAAUCAACCAUCGAACUAAUUCGUUGAGUUUCGGUACUGACUUGGUCCUUGCCCAGAAAGAAGAUAUCCCUGAAGGCCCCUAUAUCCAAAGCAUGCCAAGUGAACGUAUCCGCAAUCAACUUUCAAUCAUGGCUCAAGUUCUGCACAAGUCUGUCCAACUGGUUCGUCCAAAGGAGACUGAAACUGACAAGGAAGACCAGAGGAAAGAGAUGAUUGAAACUUAUCGUUUGGCAGCAAAGGAGGAGCAUAAAAACAUUCUGAAGAGACGACAAAUCAUUGAGAACCGCAAAGAACAGCUAGAACAUCUUAACGACCAGAGGGAACGAGAGGAACAGGAACAACAAAAGGAGCAACGUCGCAAGGCAUAUGAAGCUGAAAUGGCCCGAUUGGAACGAGAGGCUAAGGAGCGCGAAAAACAACGAUUGGAAGAGGAGCACAAGGAGAUUCAAAGACGACAUGCCAAAGAACGCAUUGAACAGCUCCGCAAAUCAGAGAUGGGUGCAAAAUUCUUGCAAAAUAUCGACGAAGAAGACUUUGCUGAUUUGGACGUUGAUGAGAUCAUGGCACGACAAGUCGAACAGCUCGAGAAAGAGAAGAAAGAGCUGCUGGAGAGGUUGAAGGCUCAAGAAAAGAAGGUUGACUAUUUUAGCCGAGCUAAGAGACUAGAAGAAAUACCUUUACUUGAAGACCAGUUCAAGGAGGAGAAAGUACAAAACCAGAAAUUCUGGGAAGAACAGGAGAAAGGAAGGAUUGAAGGACUCAGAAAGGAACGAGAAUUGGCUUUGGAGACCUGGAAUCGUCUCAACCGCAUGAAAGAUGAGAGAGUCAAGUUUGUCAAGAUUUUGUCAGAAGCAAGAAAGUCUGACUUUAACGACAGAUUGAAGAAAUUUGAGGUGCACAUGCAAGAGGAAGCCAAGAGCCGGCUCAAGAAACGCAAGGAGAAACGUAAAAAAGAACGCCGAGAGAAGUUCUAUCGCGAAAAAGAGGAGGCCGAGAUACGCUUGAGGGAAGAGGUAGAGAGAAAAGAAACGGAAGAAAGAGAAGAAGCCGAACGAGUUGAACGUGAGAGACGUGAACAAGAGGCACGAGAGAGAACAGCGAAGCUGCAAGAACAGUUUGCUAAACAGAAGGCUCGUGAGAAAGAGAUUGAAGAGAAAGAAGCACGAAGAAGAGAAGAGCAGCUUAGAGAAAAGCGUGAAGCAGAAACCACCUCACACUCCUGGAGAGAGACCACUCCUAAGGUGGAAAAGGUUGCUGCUGCUGCUGAUGUAGCUAAAGAGAAGACACCAUGGAAACCGAUAUCCAAAGAAGGUGGUUGGCGUGAGCGGACUCUGCAGAGGGAAGACAGCUGGCGCAAGCCUGACUCUACCAAAGAAGCUGAAGAUAUACACUGGAAACAUGGCAAGAGUGAUCGCAUUCCUGCACGGGAUGUAAGAUAUGAAGACCCUCCUGAGGAACCAGACAAGGAGGACGAUAACUGGCGCAGCUCUGCUGAUGUGCCACUUAAAGAUACUCCAUUAAGAGAGAGCUCUGGAAGGAUGACUCCUGCCAAAUUCACCCAGCCACAAGAAUCAAUGCCAUCCAGAGACAGCUGGCGAGAAAAGGUUUCAAGGGAUGUGGACAGAGGUGACAGAGACAGAUUCCGUGAAGACAGAUGGGGACGAAAAGAAGAUCGUCGUGGGGGUGACGAUGAUGAGUGGAGGAAACCAAGAGUUUCUGGUAGAGAUGACAUGUGGAGAGGCCGUGACAGGGAUGAUACCGGUGGCGGUGGCAGUAGUAGCUGGAGAGACAGGGUUGGGGACAGGAGUGGGCCUCGAGAAGAGGGCAGUAGCUGGCGGGAUAAAGGCUCUUCUAUGGAUGACCGCUGGCGCCCUACACGAGAGGAACGACCUCCACCAAGAGAUCCAAUGUGGAUGCGUGACAGAAAACCACCCUCUUCACGAGAUGAUGACUGGAAAGACAGAGGAAUGGGUGAAAGGGGUGGUUUGAGAGACAGAGAUGGUCCUCGUGACAGAGACGGACCUCGCGAUAGAGAUAUGCUCCGCGAUAGGGAUGGACCUCGUGACAGAGAUGAUGCCUGGAGCAGUGACCGGCCUAUGUCAAGAAACACAGAUGACUUCCGGGAAAAAUCUGGAAAGUCCUUGAGUAGCUGGCGAGGUGGUGACCGUCGAGAAGAAAGAGGACCUCCAGGCCGUGAUUCAGAUUGGAGCAGGCGAGGAACUGAUCGUGGUCCCCCUGGCUUUUCUCGUCCAGAUGGAUCUUCACCACGGAAUUGGCGAUCAGGUGGUGGUGGUGGUGGUCCCAGUGGCGGUGGUGGUAGCAGCAGUGGUGGUGGUGGUGGAGGUAUGUAAAUUGUAUAUACUUUACAACUUAUUUUGAUUGCUUGGUAGUGUGUUAGAAAUCGGUUUCAUUAUAUUACUGUUAUCAAUUCUCUCUAGUUGUUGAUGGUGAGGGCAGUGUGAGAAAAUGUUUUUGUAAAUCUGAUAUACACUUCAUCAGAUCAGUAUGUGGUUGGCUAAGUUCGUAUUCUAUUUCAUAUGCUACUUAUCAAUGUCCAGGUUACCUAACUUUUACAAUAUUCACCAGUCAAAUAGUUAUUUAUAUUUCCUGGUUAUCUUUGAUCCAGCUUUCUUAGGAUCAAAUCUAGUUAAUGAGAAUUGUGUCUUUUAUUCUACUGUCGUUCCCCUUUUU
Molecule: unclassified non-coding RNA, 4319 nt
Filed under: Octopus sinensis (East Asian common octopus)
Lineage: Eukaryota; Metazoa; Mollusca; Cephalopoda; Octopoda; Octopodidae
Description: eukaryotic translation initiation factor 3 subunit A, transcript variant X2
Source: RNAcentral